AUUAUACCGUGAAACUGCGAAUGGCUCAUUAAAUCAGUUAUCGUUUAUUUGAUAGUACCUUACUACUUGGAUAACCGUGGUAAUUCUAGAGCUAAUACAUGCUGAAAACCCCAACUUCGGAAGGGGUGUAUUUAUUAGAUAAAAAACCAACGCCCUUCGGGGCUUCUUGGUGAUUCAUGAUAACUUUACGGAUCGCAUGGCCUUGCGCCGGCGACGGUUCAUUCAAAUUUCUGCCCUAUCAACUUUCGAUGGUAAGGUAUUGGCUUACCAUGGUUUCAACGGGUAACGGGGAAUUAGGGUUCGAUUCCGGAGAGGGAGCCUGAGAAACGGCUACCACAUCCAAGGAAGGCAGCAGGCGCGCAAAUUACCCAAUCCCGACACGGGGAGGUAGUGACAAUAAAUACUGAUACAGGGCUCUUUUGGGUCUUGUAAUUGGAAUGAGUACAAUUUAAACCUCUUAACGAGGAACAAUUAGAGGGCAAGUCUGGUGCCAGCAGCCGCGGUAAUUCCAGCUCUAAUAGCGUAUAUUAAAGUUGUUGCAGUUAAAAAGCUCGUAGUUGAACCUUGGGUCUGGCUGGCAGGUCCGCCUCACCGCGUGUACUUGUCCGGCCGGGCCUUCCUUCUGGAGAACCUCAUGCCCUUCACUGGGCGUGUUGGGGACCAGGACUUUUACUUUGAAAAAAUUAGAGUGUUCAAAGCAGGCCUUUGCUCGAAUACGUUAGCAUGGAAUAAUAGAAUAGGACGUGCGGUCCUAUUUUGUUGGUUUCUAGGACCGCCGUAAUGAUUAAUAGGGACAGUCGGGGGCAUCAGUAUUCAAUUGUCAGAGGUGAAAUUCUUGGAUUUAUUGAAGACUAACUACUGCGAAAGCAUUUGCCAAGGAUGUUUUCAUUAAUCAGUGAACGAAAGUUAGGGGAUCGAAGACGAUCAGAUACCGUCGUAGUCUUAACCGUAAACUAUGCCGACUAGGGAUCGGGCGAUGUUCUUUUUCUGACUCGCUCGGCACCUUACGAGAAAUCAAAGUUUUUGGG
Molecule: ribosomal RNA, 1028 nt
Filed under: Parastagonospora fusiformis
Lineage: Eukaryota; Fungi; Ascomycota; Dothideomycetes; Pleosporales; Phaeosphaeriaceae
Description: SSU rRNA
Rfam family: Eukaryotic small subunit ribosomal RNA
Source: RNAcentral